CUACGGGAGGCAGCAGUGGGGAAUAUUGCACAAUGGGCGCAAGCCUGAUGCGGCCAUGCCGCGUGAGUGAAGAAGUAUUUCGGUAUGUAAAGCUCUAUCAGCAGGGAAGAAGAUGACGGUACCUGAGUAAGAAGCCCCGGCUAACUACGUGCCAGCAGCCGCGGUAAU
This 168-nucleotide ribosomal RNA is filed under the name uncultured bacterium. RNAcentral describes it as "partial 16S ribosomal RNA". It matches the Rfam family "Bacterial small subunit ribosomal RNA", at positions 339 to 524 of the family's 1533-position model. The record is from RNAcentral.